GCCAUUUUAGUUUAUUUUAAAACGUGCUAUUUGUAAUUGCGAAAAUAAGGUGGCU
Molecule: transfer RNA, 55 nt
Filed under: Contracaecum ogmorhini sensu lato South Africa
Lineage: Eukaryota; Metazoa; Nematoda; Chromadorea; Rhabditida; Anisakidae
Description: tRNA-Thr
Source: RNAcentral